This is a non-coding RNA of Neodidymelliopsis sp. IMI 364377, 121 nucleotides long. Lineage: Eukaryota; Fungi; Ascomycota; Dothideomycetes; Pleosporales; Didymellaceae. The record is from the annotation of a GenBank genome assembly.
GUCAAUUUGGCCGAGUGGUUAUGGCGUGUGACUCAAGCGAUUCAUGCAAGAGCUUCUGUAGUAUUCCUACAGCGCAUUCUCAUAGGGUUUCCCUGCGUGGGUUCGAAUCCCACAGUUGACA